UGACAGCAUUUUACUAUAUUGUGCCAAGAUAAGCUUAGCUAGCAUAAGCUAAUAAUAGUAUGGCUAAUACUAAUUCCACACUCUAACACGAUAUUGGCGUUUUUAGAAAAUGUUUUUGAGCACUGUAUCCAUGUGCCUGUCUGACAAUGACUUCUGCAUCCGGCUUUGCAUUUCCUACUCUGACGGGAUCCCACUGAGCGGCUCAUGCAUGCUGGGAAAGCGUUCGGAUUUCACCCUUGCGUUUCCAGUGCGCCACUUUAGAAAAGCUAUUCUGCCACGCACUCACGCAGCGUUACUGAGAGACUCGGCUCAGACGCCGACACGGACUUAUAAAAGACAGCGAGAAUGAAGCGAGAGUGUGUGAGAGAGAGAGAGAGAGAGAGAGAGAGAGAGAGAGAGAGAAUACCUGGGGUGCUGUCUGGGACUGAGAUUGGCAGAUGACUUUAAAGUCAAGGUGGCAUUGAUCUUAUUACCCAGAAUUCCCUAGGAGAACACAUGAUGAGAUGAAUGACACAGGAAGAGCCUUCAUCUCUGUGCCAGCAGGACUUCUAUCAUACUGAGCCUCUCAACACACACAGUGACAGGCAGCUACACUGCCCACACACACACAUGCGCACACGCACACACACACACAGACACACAGGCACACUCACACACACACACGCACACUUUAUUCAGUGAGUACUUGAAUCAUCAAUGAAUAGUCAAUUUUAAUACUUCAUUUUCUUGAUUGAGUACAAAAAUAAAGCGGCUAAUUGCAG
Molecule: long non-coding RNA, 761 nt
Organism: Ictalurus punctatus (channel catfish)
Lineage: Eukaryota; Metazoa; Chordata; Actinopteri; Siluriformes; Ictaluridae
Source: Ensembl